GAGAGACAGAGAGACAGGGAGGAGGUGGAGAGACAGGGAGGAGGUGGAGAGACAGAGACUGAGAGGAGGUGGAGAGACAGAGACAGAGAGGAGGUGGAGAGACAGAGACAGAGAGGAGGUGGAGAGACAGAGACAGACAGAGAGGAGGUGGAGAGACAGAGACAGACAGAGAGGAGGUGGAGAGACAGACAGAGAGGAGGUGGAGAGACAGACAGAGAGGAGAUGGAGAGGAGGUGGAGAGACAGAGAGACAGGGAGGAGGUGGAGAGACAGGGAGGAGGUGGAGAGACAGAGACGGAGAGGAGGUGGAGAGACAGAGACGGAGAGGAGGUGGAGAGACAGAGACGGAGAGGAGGUGGAGAGACAAAGAGGAGGUGGAGAGACAGAGGAGGUGGAGAGACAGAGAGACAGAGAGGAGGUGGAGAGACAGGAGCAGAGGUGGAGAGACAGGAGCGGAGGUGGAGAGACAAGAGAGGAGGUGGAGAGACAGAGACAGAGAGGAGGUGGAGAGACAGAGACAGAGAGGAGGUGGAGAGACAGAGACAGAGAGGAGGUGGAGAGACAGAGACAGAGAGGAGGUGGAGAGACAGACAGAGAGGAGG
Oncorhynchus tshawytscha (Chinook salmon) is the source of this 601-nucleotide long non-coding RNA. The record is from Ensembl. NCBI's taxonomy places the organism in Eukaryota, Metazoa, Chordata, Actinopteri, Salmoniformes, Salmonidae.